Vulpes vulpes (red fox) is the source of this 104-nucleotide small nuclear RNA. Lineage: Eukaryota; Metazoa; Chordata; Mammalia; Carnivora; Canidae. The record is from Ensembl.
CUGCUCACUUCAGCAACACAUAUGUUAAAACUGGUAUGAUACAGAGAUUAGCAUUGUCUCUAUGCAAGGAUGACAUGCAAAUUUGUGAAGUGUUCCAUAUUUCU